ACAGUUCGUGCCAUUAUGUCAUACAAAAGAUUUCAUAAUAACCGGAUUUGCAGCAGUUUGGACAGGAUAAACUUCAAAGAAUUUGUUAAAAGUUUUGAUGGUAGAUGAGAAAACCAUUUUAUAUGUUGUUCUGUUUGAUCAACAGCAAUAUUAACAAUUUAUUCGCUUACGGAUUCUAUGCAGUUAGUGUUUGGAUUGAUUUGACUCUGAGUAAUUGCAGUAUAAAAAAAGUACACUCCUCGAUUUGUUGAAUAUUGGAGAUACUAUCGACGAGUUAGCUAAUUCAGAUGAAUUUAAAUUUACUCCAAAAGAUAUUAGUGAUAUUAAACAGGGAGAAACAGGUGGUGGUAACUCUGGAAAAGCGUUUUUAGAACACCUAAAAAACUUAAAAAUUGUCACUAGAGAAGAAUUUGAAAAGGCUUUAGACUCUAAUAAGGUUCAAUAUAAAGACUUGGAUAGAAGUUACAACUCUACUAACGAAUUAAAGUACGGUUUUAUAAAUGAGAUGAGCAUACGAUUAAGUUGGGAAACGUUGUGGGUAAAUGUGGCGCACGACCUGGAUUUUGAAUCCUCUCUAAUAGAGUGCUUACGAACGAAACAAAAGAGUGAAGGUAUUUACAAUCGUGCAAUAAUUUUACUCCGCAAAAUUGGAGAACAACACCCAAAUUAUUCAGUAGGAAAGUUUAUGAAUCUUAACAAGAAACAUCGAAGAAAUGAUGUCUGCAAACAUAUGGAAUUGAUGAUAAUUGAAUAUUCCAAAAAAUCAAUUAACCAACAGUAACUUCAUUUUCUGAAAUGGUAUAUUAAUAAGCAUUUGUUUUCGUUGUUGGGUUGACUAAAUUAAUAUCUUUUUAUUUUAAUAAAUAAAGAGUUUUGUUUUAAACUGUAGUCAGUGUGAACAUUAGUUUUCAUAACAUAUAUUUUGUUAAGUAUUCAUGAACAGGUACCUACUAAAUUUU
Molecule: long non-coding RNA, 959 nt
Organism: Hydra vulgaris (swiftwater hydra)
Lineage: Eukaryota; Metazoa; Cnidaria; Hydrozoa; Anthoathecata; Hydridae
Source: RefSeq, a predicted model, not a curated record